Long non-coding RNA from Clupea harengus (Atlantic herring), 1922 nucleotides. Lineage: Eukaryota; Metazoa; Chordata; Actinopteri; Clupeiformes; Clupeidae. The record is from Ensembl.
GACCGCUCAAUGACACCUGUGUGUCAAAUCACCAGGGCAGACCUCUUCAGCGGCAGCUCUUUCACGAGUUUAUCCCUGUGGUGUGUCUGCCAACCCCAUUCUGUGGCCCACUGCACAAAAGGGCUCCUUAUAAUAUCAAAUCCCUUAAGCACCCAUUCAACCUGCAGUGCCACCGACAGAUUCACAAUGUGGCCCUGUCUGAGAGACAAGUUUCUAUGGCAACACGGGCCCAGAUUGCACAGCCAGUGAUGGGAAAAUGGGAAUGACAUUUAUUCUUUUUUCUUCAUAAACAUGGGUGUGUGUUUAUUUAUUUUAGGGACCUUUUUUAGUGCUUACAGAAAAGGGCAACAGACAAAGAGGCGAUACCACUCCAUUUAAAUGAAGCUGUUGGAACGGCCUUAUCAUUAAGAGCAGUGUGAAUUGCUGUGGCAUUGUGCAUAUUGUUCACAAUGAACAGGAAGUGGCGCUGAGUUGAAUGUUCAGCUGAGGAGAUGAGAUUUUCUGCAUGGGACAAAUUAAGGACCAGGGACAAAUGAAGAGACAAAAAACAAAACAAAAUGGUCUGAACCAUUGUGAGCAACACAAGUUGUCAUACAGAGGCAGAUCCUUGCUAAGCUGUCUGCAAUUAUCAUCGCUCCCUAUUGUUUUAUCUGCUCAUUUGUAAAGCACUAGAUGCAUUAGAUAGACACCACCACAACAGAUUUACUGAAAAUAAAUAAAUCUUUAUUAAUGAUUUGCUUUAGACAUCAUCCCUCAUGCAUCCCAGAGGUGACAAAUUAGCAAAGUAAAACAUAGUGCUUCCAUAGCACAUAAACUGCAGUCAUACGUACAGGUAAUACAAAUCAAUUAGUAUUACAAAUCAUUUUAGGACUUAAGACAAACAACAAGAACAACAACAGCAAUAACAACAAUAACAACAGCACAAACAACAGUGAUGCAACAAUCCCUGUGGUCUCUCUCCCUUGCUAAGGUGAGGAGAUAACACUCUGUGUACAUCCUCCUCGUAACACUUAGCUCUAGUUUCUCCAUGUUACACCACAUUAAAAAUAAAGACCUAAAGUAGUGCUGUCUACAGAGGCAAAACUUAUUUAGGAAUGUGCUUUAGGCUAUUUUAGUUCUUUGUCCUCGUUAGGAGAGCGUGAUAUAUUACAGACAUAAAUAUAGCCGACGAGCGGAGACAAAUACGCAUGGCUAAGUAGAACCUUCAGAAGUGGCACACCUAAAAACAGUAGUUGCUAUUGGUCAAUUCAAGUUGCGAGUGAAAUGUAUUGCACAGUUAGUUCCUCACAGAGGCUGCAUUAAAAUAGGAGGGGUGGGUCUGUUUGUGCAGUAGACACUGAUCUGGAAAACCACAUGCAUAGUUUCACGUAUGCAUCCAGACAGACACACAGGCACAUUCACACACAGACGCACACGUACAGUAUAUAUCGACACUCGACAGCCGCUCUCUUCGAACUUGCUCACCUUUCGACAAACGGACAUGCACGUGGACCAACAGCACAUACUUAAGCACAUCCCGCAAAGUAUAAGGAUUUACCAUUGUACCAUCAAUACAGCCAGGUCACCACCCCCGUACCACUCCCCAAUACACACCCCCCCCCCCCCCCCCCCCCCACCCCAUCCCCUUGACCCUCCCCCAGCACCAGUCCCAGCCAACAGCGGGGGUCACAGUUCCGAUCAGAGGCAAGAAACUGUGUUUGCCAGUAGGGGUGCAUCGUACACAUACAGCAGCGUUGGUGUGUGGAAGAAGGAAGUCUGCGUCUGUGUCCCCCCGACUGAUAAGGGACGAGACCGGGGGGGUGGUGGUGCUCCGGGCUGGGGAGAUCUCUCCUCAGUGCAGGCUUCAACAGUGUUCAGCACAGAAACCUCUUCAGUAAGAGUUUGUGUUUUCCUUUUUGUUUUCUCCUCCUCUUCAGCUGCAG